Molecule: transfer RNA, 99 nt
Filed under: Bos taurus (domestic cattle)
Lineage: Eukaryota; Metazoa; Chordata; Mammalia; Artiodactyla; Bovidae
Also listed under: 1 other name
Rfam family: tRNA
About the family: Transfer RNA (tRNA) molecules are approximately 80 nucleotides in length.
Source: Rfam by way of RNAcentral
GGUGGUGUGGCUGAGAGGUCUAAGGUGUUGGAUUAAGGCUCCAGUGGGUUUAAGGCUCCUUGCCCCUUUGGGGCAUGGGUUUGAAUCCCAUCGCUGCCA